Molecule: ribosomal RNA, 255 nt
Filed under: uncultured bacterium
Lineage: Bacteria
Description: partial 16S ribosomal RNA
Rfam family: Bacterial small subunit ribosomal RNA
Source: RNAcentral
UACGUAGGGGGCUAGCGUUGUCCGGAAUCAUUGGGCGUAAAGAGCGUGUAGGCGGCCCGGUAAGUCCGCUGUAAAAGUCAAAGGCUCAACCUUUGAAUGUCAGUGGAUACUGCCGGGCUAGAGUCCGGAAGAGGCGAGUGGAACUCCUGGUGUAGCGGUGGAAUGCGCAGAUAUCAGGAAGAACACCAACGGCGAAGGCAGCUCGCUGGGGACGGUACUGACGCUGAGACGCGAAAAGCGUGGGGAGCGAACAGG